This 568-nucleotide ribosomal RNA is filed under the name Aureobasidium pullulans. Its description in RNAcentral is "partial large subunit ribosomal RNA". It matches the Rfam family "Eukaryotic large subunit ribosomal RNA", at positions 76 to 659 of the family's 3401-position model. The record is from RNAcentral. Lineage: Eukaryota; Fungi; Ascomycota; Dothideomycetes; Dothideales; Saccotheciaceae.
UGCCCUAGUAACGGCGAGUGAAGCGGCAACAGCUCAAAUUUGAAAGCUGGCCUUCGGGUCCGCAUUGUAAUUUGUAGAGGAUGCUUUGGGUGAAACGCCAGUCUAAGUUCCUUGGAACAGGACGUCAUAGAGGGUGAGAAUCCCGUAUGUGACUGGAAAUGUUAACCUAUGUAAAGCUCCUUCGACGAGUCGAGUUGUUUGGGAAUGCAGCUCUAAAUGGGAGGUAAAUUUCUUCUAAAGCUAAAUAUUGGCGAGAGACCGAUAGCGCACAAGUAGAGUGAUCGAAAGAUGAAAAGCACUUUGGAAAGAGAGUUAAAAAGCACGUGAAAUUGUUGAAAGGGAAGCGCUUGCAAUCAGACUUGUUUAAACUGUUCGGCCGGUCUUCUGACCGGUUUACUCAGUUUGGACAGGCCAGCAUCAGUUUCGGCGGCCGGAUAAAGGCUCUGGGAAUGUGGCCUUCACUUCGGUGAAGGUGUUAUAGCCCAGGGUGUAAUACGGCCAGCCGGGACUGAGGUCCGCGCUUCGGCUAGGAUGCUGGCGUAAUGGUUGUAAGCGACCCGUCUUGAAA